CAGUAGCCGCGGUAAUACAGAGGGUGCGAGCGUUAAUCGGAUUUACUGGGCGUAAAGCGUGUGUAGGUUGUUGUUCAAGUCAGUUGUGAAAUCCCUGGGCUCAACCUGGGAACUGCUUCUGAGACUGAACGACUAGAGUACGGUAGAGGGUGGUGGAAUUCCCGGUGUAGCGGUGAAAUGCGUAGAGAUCGGGAGGAACAUCAGUGGCGAAGGCGGCCAUCUGGGACAACACUGACGCUGAGGCACGAAAGCGUGGGGAGCAAACAGGAUUAGAUACCCCAGUAGUCCCUGUCUCUUAUAC
Molecule: ribosomal RNA, 301 nt
Filed under: uncultured bacterium
Lineage: Bacteria
Description: partial 16S ribosomal RNA
Rfam family: Bacterial small subunit ribosomal RNA
Source: RNAcentral